CCUACGGGUGGCAGCAGUGAGGAAUAUUGGUCAAUGGGCGAGAGCCUGAACCAGCCAAGUCGCGUGAGGGAGUACUGCCCUAUGGGUUGUAAACCUCUUUUGUCGGGGAGCAAAAGCCGGACGUGUCCGGCUGUGAGAGUACCCGAAGAAAAAGCAUCGGCUAACUCCGUGCCAGCAGCCGCGGUAAUACGGAGGAUGCGAGCGUUAUCCGGAUUUAUUGGGUUUAAAGGGUGCGCAGGCGGGUUUUUAAGUCAGCGGUAAAAUCGUGGGGCUCAACCCCAUCCAGCCGUUGAAACUGGGGAUCUAGAGUGUGCGAGAGGUAUGCGGAAUGCGUGGUGUAGCGGUGAAAUGCAUAGAUAUCACGCAGAACCCCGAUUGCGAAGGCAGCAUACCGGUGCACAACUGACGCUCAGGCACGAAAGCGUGGGUAUCGAACAGGAUUAGAUACCCCAGUAGUC
RNAcentral lists this ribosomal RNA (458 nucleotides) under uncultured bacterium. RNAcentral describes it as "partial 16S ribosomal RNA". It matches the Rfam family "Bacterial small subunit ribosomal RNA", at positions 338 to 795 of the family's 1533-position model. The record is from RNAcentral.